CAACAACGACAGAAAAGGCAGCCUGAAUCCUGUGCAGCCAACUUCCCUCAUCAGGCGACCGCGCCGAGAGCAAUGUUCGAGAGCAAACUUCCUCGUGACGUUCGUCUUGCUAUUGAUGCCAAAACGCUAGCCCUCCAGCAGCAGAAAGCCGCCACUGAGCCGUCCAUCUUCUGGUAGGUGAUUUUCCUGUGGACAGUGGUGGCCGCCCUGGCUAUGUUCCUAUUCAUCUAUCUUUACAUCAUCCACACGAGACUGCCCACAUACCCACACCACAAUUACACCGGCCAAUCCAGAUUAACCAAGCGAGCCAUGCGUCUUGGAAUUCCACUGCCGGGUCACGUGGGCAGCUCGUGCGAUGUCUCCUCCCAAUGCCUGGACGAGGCCGACUGCGUUCGCGGUGUCUGCCCGUGCGACACCGACGCCUUCCGAGUGGUCGCCGGCGCUUGCAUCUCCGUCCCCGACACAAGCACCGUGUCAACCAUCACCAACAGCAGCGCCAGCCACGAGCUCAGGCCAUUGCUUCGGGGUGAUGGUGACCUCAGGUUCCGCGCCUAAAACUAAUCUCAUUAGAGAGAGAGAGAGAUCAGGAGAGAUGGGGAUAUUGAAUCCUGGAGAUGUUUGCCUGUAGGCACGCCUAUACUUGAGGACAACUUCCUGUGGCAAUGGAAGGAAGUCUAGGGCAAGACCACAUCGAUGGACAGGAAGGACACAUCACAAAUACUUGUGUUGUGACCUCCCAGUAACAUUGCAGGCACGAAGACAACGAAGAAUUGAAUUUGUGACCAAAAAAUGAAAUGAUUAGGAGCCACGUCUCCAGCCGUCACCUGGCGUCAGUUUGAACUUCGGGUGGUCAAUUUUCGACUUCACGAUGAACUCUGAGUUUCGCUACCGGCGAACAAUACCGAAGAAAAAUCAGUUUCCCUAUAUGAAAACAAUCAUUUACUUAACUCAAACUCGCGAUCUAUGAGAUAAAAAUAUUUGCUCUGCUUUAUGGCUGUAAGGAGCUGGCCUGUGUAUACUGCA
This is an RNA transcript of Dermacentor albipictus, 1023 nucleotides long. RefSeq lists it as uncharacterized. Lineage: Eukaryota; Metazoa; Arthropoda; Arachnida; Ixodida; Ixodidae. The record is from RefSeq and is a predicted model, not a curated record.